UUUUCUAGAUGUGCCCUUAAGGUGGAUAUCCAGAAAGCAUAUGAUACAGUGAGCUGGUCUUUUCUUCAAAAUAUCCUUUUUCACUUUGGGUUUCAUCCAGCUAUGAUAAAGUGGAUAAUGCAGUGUGUGAGUUCUCCUUCGUAUAUGAUUAGCAUGAAUGGUUCUUUUCAUGGCUAUUUUGAUGGAAAAAGAGGUCUUCGUCAGGGAUGCCCUUUAUCGCCUUAUCUCUUUACCUUGGUGAUGGAAAUUUUUAAUUUGAUUUUUCAAAGGAGAAUAAAGAAUGAACCUUUGUUCAAGUAUCAUUGGAGAUGCAAGAAACUUAAACUCACGCAUCUAUGUUUUGCGGAUGAUCUUAUGAUUUUUUGUCAUGGAAACAAAGCCUCGGUUAGGGUGAUUAAAGAUAGUCUUGAUGAGUUUGCAAAGGUGGCAGGUCUACAUCCCAAUUUCUCUAAAAGUCAUAUUUUUUUUGGGAAUGUCAAGACCAAUGUGAAAAGGAAAAUUCUUGACAUUUUACCCUUUGUUGAAGGCAAACUUCCAAUGAGGUAUUUGGGUAUGCCCCUAAUAUCUACAAGGUUGUUUAUUCGCGAUUGCAAAAGACUUGUUGAUAAAGUUAGAUGUAGAAUAGGUGAUUGGAGAAACAAAUUUCUUUCUUAUGCGGGAAGACUUCAGCUUAUUUCUUCGGUUCUUUACUCGCUUCCUAUCUAUUGGGCUUCUUGUCUUCUUAUUCCUGCUUCGAUUACUAAGGAAAUUGAGAAAUUGAUGAAGAAUUUUUUGUGGGAUUGUGAUGAAUCCAAGAAGGGAAGGGCAAAAAUAUCCUGGUCUUCUACUUGUAAACCUGUUGAGUAUGGGGGAUUGGGGCUUAGAAAUCUCAGAGCUUGGAAUAAAGCUAUUUUAUCUAAGAGAAUAUGGAUGAUUAUUUCCAAUCAUGACUCUUUGUGGGUUAAAUGGAUAAAUAUUCAUGUUCUUAAAGGUAGAAGCUUUUGGGAUAUUGAGGAAAAGCAAGAUUUUAGUUGGAGCUGGAGAAACUUGAUUAGAUUGAGACCCAAAUUUAGAAAUCAAUUUGUUACCAAGAUAGGGAAUGGAGCUAAUUCGUUUAUGUGGUUUGAUGAUUGGCAUCAAUUGGGUGCUUUUUCUCAUGUCCUUUCACCUAGAGAAAUUGCCAAUGCCGGGUUCAGAAUUUCAGACAAGGUCAAGGAUGUUAUAAUGGACAACUCUUGGUUUUGGCCUCCUGAGUGGCUCAGGCUUAUUCCCCAGCUGAAUGAUUUUCAGCUGCCGGUUCUUGACCCUAUGGUGGCUGAUAGAAUCUUGUGGAGGAAUAGGGAUGGUCAAGUGGUGGAAUUUGAUAUUCAUCAAGUUUGGAGAGACCUUAGUAAUUGUGGUCAAAAGGUUCCUUGGGCUCAUCUUGUUUGGUUCAAACAACGUAUUCCUAGACUCAGUUUUAUUUUAUGGCUGGCUAUCCAGGAAAGGCUUAUGACUCAGGAUAGAAUGAGGUUUUGGGAAAAAAAUAAAAAUCUUAAGUGUGUUUUUUGUAAUAAGCAACCAGAUUCGCAUGCUCAUUUAUUCUUUGAAUGCUCUUUCUCCUCUCUUGUUUGGAAAGUUGUGAAAGAUAAAGUGGGAAUUUCAAGUAAUUCUCAAGGUUGGAAAGAGUUAAUUGAAGAAUUUCAAGAUUUGUUUAAAGGGAAAAGUGUCCAAGUUUUUAUCAUGAAGAUUGCUUUUGCUGCUUCAGUUUAUUAUAUUUGGAGAGAAAGAAAUUGCAGAAUUUUUAGGAAAGGAAAAAAUGAGGAGAUGAAAAUUGUUUUGAACAUCUUUGAAGAAAUCCGUUUAAAGCUUAUUGGCCUCAAAGGUGAUUUUUUGGGCUUUGAUAAUGUUGUCAAGAGGAAGUGGGGAGUUCCUGUGGGAGAGAACAAUCAUGAAUUUUUUGAUGAUCAAAGGAAUUGACGGGUUUGGGUUUAGCAAUUUUCCUUUUAAAAUUGCUUUGCAUAUCGGUUUGAUCCCGAUUUUCUGGAGGAAUUUUCUUCUAGAAGUGGUUUUUUUCUUGCAAAUGGGUCUUAUCCCCAUUAUAAGUUGUUUUCCUCCUUGGCAACUUGGAGUCUCCACUACGGUGGGUGCCACUGCUAUUUCGAUUAGCAAGUGGUGGGAUAAUUACCCGUCAAUACCAGGGAUUGGGUACGUUUUCCUUAAACUGUACCACACUCAGGUUGGUUGUUUCCUUUGUUUACAUAAAAACAACCACUUUUUAUUGUAUUGGAAUGCUUGUAUAGUUAAUGCUAUCCGGUUUAUCCCGGAUUUCAUUGGUAGUUUUACCUUUGAAGUGGUACUUCUCUUGAUACAAAUGGGUUUGAUUCCCAUUCUUGGUUGUUUUUCUCCUUGGCAACUUGGAGUCUCCACCUCGGUGGGUGCCACUGCUAGUUCGAUUAGCAAGUGGUGGGAUAAUCACCCGGUAAUACCACGGAUUGGGUACGUUUUCCUUAAACUGUACCACAAACAGGUUGGUUGUUUCCUUUGUCUUCAUAAAAACAACCACUUUUGGAUCCUUAGAGAUUAUUAUCUUGGUAUUUGCUUUCUGGUUUAUCCCAGAAUUCAUUGGAAUUUUUCCUUUGAAGUGGUCAAUUUUUUAAAGCAAAUGGGUUUGAUCCCCGUUAGUUGGAAUCUUCUUCCUAGGCAACUAGGAAUCUCCACUUUAGUGGGUGCCACUGCUAGUUCGAUUAGCAAGUGGUGGGAUUUUUACCCGUUAAUACACUGGAUUGGGUACGUUAACCUUAGACUGUACCACAUUUGGGUUGGUUGUUUCCCUUGUUUUCAUAGAAACAACCACUUUUGGAUCGUUUUUUCUUCUUGGUUUUACCAAGUUUUUAAUGCAAACCGGUCUAUCCCGGUUAUCAUUGGUAAUUUUACCUUUGAUGUGGAUUUUGAAGGUUCUAUUCUUAAUUAUUUAGGAAUUAACCUUCAGGGGUAUUUUUGGAAUAUUCCCAUUAAAAAAGGAAUUGACGGAUUUCUCAUCAUUGGAGUGAUUCUUAAGAAGAGUGUUGGCGGAUUGGAAUUUUAUGACAUUGAAGAUUGUGGUUUUUUCGGUCCUAUAAGCUCUUUUUUUGUUAGAAGAUGGUUUACUCAUAAAGGGCAAUUUUGUAAUUUUUGGUUUAUUCCUUUGGAAGAAUUUUUGAAGAUUAAUUGGAAUUGUUUGUGCAAGAAAGAUUUUGGAGAAAAGUUGAAGAUUCUUUGGAAAUGGUGGAAUUUGAUUGGCCAUCCCGGUUUUAGUAACAUACUUUCUUGGAAUUUGAAGAUUUUUGCUUUAGCAAAUGAGGAUAUUGGAAAAUUUUUGGAAGAUUUAAUUGACAAUUUUAGGAAUUGUUUCAAGAAUUUUGUGAAGGAUAUUGGGCUUAUUUUUUGGAGCAUAUGGGUUUUUCAAGUAAAGAUUGGAAAGAAGUUCAACAAUUGGUUUUUGGAGAGGGAUGGAAAGUAUUGCAUGAAGAGUAAAGUUCAAAGUUCAAAGUUGAUUGCUAUUCUUGGAUUUAUUCCGGUUUGGAGAAUUUUGAAAUUUUAUGAUGGUUUGAUUGAUUUGGCCAAUGAUUCUCUUGAUUUGGAAGUUCCUUGGAUGUUUUGUAAGAUUGAUAUUAUCCAAACCUUGGAUUAUUUGUUUGAGUAUGAGGCCAAUUUUUGGGAUUUGGUUUGGUGGAGGUUUAUUGGCUAUUUGAAGAUUGAAGAUUUUGAAGAUUUCACAAGAUGGAAGAUUUUUGAUUUGGAGCUAAUUGUUUAUUUCCUUGGAAGCUAUGUUUGGUUUCAUACUUUGCUUUGGAGUUGGACUUGGAAGUGGAUUGGUUGGUUUUUGUUAGAUAGGUCUUUUUGUCCCAUUAAAAAUUAUUGUUGUUUAGAUUAGUUUUAGUUGUUCGUUAGGUUUUGUAGUUAGUUUUUUUGGGGCGGUUGCUCUCUCUCCUUUUGUAAUUUUUUGCUUUUCAAUAAAAUUCGCCAAGGGGUCUCCCCUUUUAUCCAAAAAAAAAAAACCCUAAACCCUAAACCCUAAACCCUAAACCCUAAACCCUAAACCCUAAACCCUAAACCCUAAACCCUAAACCCUAAACCCUAAACCCUAAACCCUAAACCCUAAACCCUAAACCCUAAACCCUAAACCCUAAACCCUAAACCCUAAACCCUAAACCCUAAACCCUAAACCCUAAACCCUAAACCCUAAACCCUAAACCCUAAACCCUAAACCCUAAACCCUAAACCCUAAACCCUAAACCCUAAACCCUAAACCCUAAACCCUAAACCCUAAACCCUAAACCCUAAACCCUAAACCCUAAACCCUAAACCCUAAACCCUAAACCCUAAACCCUAAACCCUAAACCCUAAACCCUAAACCCUAAACCCUAAACCCUAAACCCUAAACCCUAAACCCUAAACCCUAAACCCUAAACCCUAAACCCUAAACCCUAAACCCUAAACCCUAAACCCUAAACCCUAAACCCUAAACCCUAAACCCUAAACCCUAAACCCUAAACCCUAAACCCUAAACCCUAAACCCUAAACCCUAAACCCUAAACCCUAAACCCUAAACCCUAAACCCUAAACCCUAAACCCUAAACCCUAAACCCUAAACCCUAAACCCUAAACCCUAAACCCUAAACCCUAAACCCUAAACCCUAAACCCUAAACCCUAAACCCUAAACCCUAAACCCUAAACCCUAAACCCUAAACCCUAAACCCUAAACCCUAAACCCUAAACCCUAAACCCUAAACCCUAAACCCUAAACCCUAAACCCUAAACCCUAAACCCUAAACCCUAAACCCUAAACCCUAAACCCUAAACCCUAAACCCUAAACCCUAAACCCUAAACCCUAAACCCUAAACCCUAAACCCUAAACCCUAAACCCUAAACCCUAAACCCUAAACCCUAAACCCUAAACCCUAAACCCUAAACCCUAAACCCUAAACCCUAAACCCUAAACCCUAAACCCUAAACCCUAAACCCUAAACCCUAAACCCUAAACCCUAAACCCUAAACCCUAAACCCUAAACCCUAAACCCUAAACCCUAAACCCUAAACCCUAAACCCUUAAACCCUAAACCCUAAACCCUAAACCCUAAACCCUAAACCCUAACCCUAAACCCUAAACCCUAAACCCUAAACCCUAAACCCUAAACCCUAAACCCCAAAAACCCAAAACCCAAACCGUUUCUCUCUCUUCUCUGGCGAUUUUGUGUUUCCCCCGUUUUUUUCAACCGUUUUUCCGGCACCGUUCUUAGCUCCGACGUCGGAAUUUGUUGAUUCCGGUCUCUUUUUGUUCGUUUUCUUCUGCUUGAUCUGUGGAUAUCUUUGAAUUGGUUCUAUGGUGGGAGUUCCACCAGAUCUGGAACCUGACGUAAUAAUGAGGAAAAAAGGGAAAAUUGUGAAUUCGAAGAACAAGUCAAAAGAAGCUUCAAUUAAUGUUCAGGAGAUGAUUGCUAACCCAGUUCCUCCUAAAUCGGUAUCUCUUCUAGUAAAAAAAUUUGAUUCCGAUGCUAAAUCGCCUGAUUCCAAGGAAGAGGGUAAAUUUGGCAACACAUUCAAUGAAGGGACUGUGAUUGAGAAUUCGUCUAAUUCUUCAGAUGUUAAUUUCGAUGCUGCUUCUAUGGCUCCUUUGACAAACUGUAAUCCUAUUAAGAUGGAGGAUGGAAUGAUUGAAGGAUUGAGUUCCCCUGUUCAUGAAUUUGAAAAGGACAUCGAGCUUUUUUGUAGCCCAGGAGAGAAGGAUGCGAUGUUGUGUUUUUGGAAUGGACUUUCCAGUAAUGAGAAGGAAGGAUUUGUGCAUGGUCUGAGGUUUAUCAAAAAGAAAUACAAUAAAGAAGGUGAGUAUGAUUCUGAGUUUGAUGAUUCAAUUGAUAACAUUAGAAAAAUCUCCUCUGUAAGUCAAAGGAAUGAUAUUCUUAUGAAUUGGAAAGAUCUUAAUCAAAAGAAGAAGGAAAAGGUGUUCCAUAAACUUUGUACUAGCAAAAUUAAGAAGCAGGUGGAAGCUAAUUUUGGGAAAAAUCGUGUUCCUUUCAAACCUUCUUCUUCGUUGUUUCCGGCAGCAAUUGAUAUGAAGAAGCAUUCUGAUCUUGAGGCAUCGGAUGGAUUACAGAAAGUUGGUGAAACUGUUUUGGAAAUUAUUCCUGAAGGAGUCCCUGUUUUAAGCUCUAAUGAAACUGUUGUUGUUGAUCUUCAAAAACUCUGUGCUAUGCAACCUCAGGUAAAGGAUAAUAAGAUUAAAAGAAAGAUUGAAAUUGAUGAGCUGGUUAGCAAGCAAAUUGAACAAGUUUGUAAUGCUAUUGAUUAUAAUUUCCCAUCCAAAUUUAAUCAAAUUGAUUUAGCCAAUGAAGGGGAAUUUAAAUUCAAUUAUGUUGAUGCUGAUGAAAAGGAAUUAGAUGCUAAAAUGAUUAUUGAUGGGAAUGAAGACAUUUGCUUGAAUAGUCGUAAUACCAAUGGAGGUCUUCUUAUUACGAAGGAAAUGCUGGAACAAAUGAAGAUGAAGAAUUUAAAGAGUGAAGAACAGAACCCAAUUCCUAAGCCUAAUUCAAUGGAAGUGGAGAAAAAUCACCCAGUUUCUUAUGCUGAGAAGGUUAGUGGCAAAAAACUUAAUGCAGCAAAUCUUAUUUCUAAAAUUAAAAAAAUGCUGAACUUCCAAAUGGAGUUGUGGAAAUGCCGUUAAGUGAUAUUCUGAAGGGAUGCAGCCCUUUCAAGACUACCCUUUAUGGGUAUUUUAUUGAUAAACACGUCAAUUUCUUUAAUGUCAAUAAAUUUGCUCAUAACAUGUGGAAGAAGUAUGGGUUAGAAGAAGUUAUGGUAAAUGAUGAGGGGAUUUAUUUCUUCAGAUUUAGCACUGAACAAGGAAUGGUCUCUGUUCUAGAAGGGGGAGUUUGGAUGAUUUUUGAUAGUGCCCUUAUUGUCAGGAGAUGGACUACUGGAGUGAGCUCAGUUAAAGAUCAACACGAUAAAGUUCCGGUGUGGGUUAAGAUUUUUAAUGUUCCUUUAGAAUAUUGGAAUGGGACAGGAUUGAGUCAUAUUGCUUGGGAGAUAGGGAAGCCUCUUGAUGUUGAUGCUCAUACAGCGAAAAUGUGUCAAGAACAUUGGGGUAGGCCGGCUUUUAUGAGAAUUCUUAUUGAGAUGUCUGCUGCUAGUGAAUGGCUUAAAGAAAUCCAUGUUUAUUCUUCGGAUCUUACUACUGGUGAAAGAAUUUUGUCUAAGUGUAAGAUAGAGUAUGCGUGGAACCCUUCCAAAUGUUCUCACUGCAAGGUGUAUGGGCAUAGGGAUUCCUCUUGUGGGAUUUUGUUAGCCAAAGAAGUUAAUAACAUUGAAAGUUCUGUUUCUAAUGAGAAAAUUGAGGAGGGUGUUAAAGUUGAUCUCAUGGAAGUGCUUAUUGCAAGCACUAAAAAAGUUGAGGAAAAUAAUGAUGGGUUUCAAAAGUUUGUCAAAAGAAACAAAGGAAAUAAUAUGGGGGAAAAUAAAACCGAGCAAAAUGGGAGCAAAAGUCAAGAACCGGUCCAAGGGCAAAAAGGGAAAUUUCAAGAAAAUGGAAAGAAGUGGGGAGGAAAUAUAGCUGGAAAUCAGGGGCAAAAAGGGAAUACUUAUGCUAAAAAUGGAAAUAAUUCUGGAGGGAAUCAAUGGAAUAAAGGAAAAGGAAUUCAGGGGCAAAAUGGGAAAAAUAAUUUUGGGAAUGGAAUGAAUAAGGGGGUUAAAUUGGAGCAGGGGCAAAACAGUAAAAAUGGAAAUUUUUUUGGAAAAGCGAGAGAUAUAGGGGCUGUUUCAGUGGAAAACAUCAUGCAGGGGAAUAAUGCUGUAAACAGGAACUUUCCGGAUCAAAAACAGGUUGCUGAAAUGAGUAAAAAAGCUGUCAGUGGGCAGAAAUAUAUUCCGAAAACUGGUCCUGAUAUCAAAAUUAGUUCUAAUUUUGAUUUGAAGACUCGUAAUGAGAAAUCUAAUGAUCAUGUGAUUCCUUUUUCUGCUAACAAGUUCGAUGCUCUUAAUGAUUUGGAAGAGGAUAAUCAAUGUGCUUUUAACAAAGGUGGUAUUCCAGAGAUUGAUUUAGAUUAUUUGGAUAAAGUGGAUCAAAUGGAAAUUAUAGGUGGUAUCCCUUUGGUUGAUACCAACAUGGAAGGCCUUUCCAAUGACGUUUAAUUUUGGAAUUUGGAAUGUUAGGGGUUUUAAUCAAUCCCCUAAGCAAAAAGAAAUAAAAAAUUUAAUAAAGGAGAAAAAUUUGAGUUUAUUAGCUAUUCUUGAACCUCAAGUUAGUUCUAAUAAACUUAAUGAGAAGUGUGAAAAAGUUUUUGGGUCUUGGAAGUGGACUGCUAUAAAAGGUAAUAUGGGGCGUACUUAUCGGAUUAUUUUGGGUUGGAAUUCUCUUCUUUUUGAUGUUAACUUGAUUGAUCACAAUGAUCAAGUUAUCCAUUGCAAAGUUUGUUUUCCCUCAACCAAUAAGUAUGUUUUCUGUUCCAUUGUUUAUGCUGCCAAUAAGUACAUUGAUAGAAGAGCUCUGUGGACUUCUCUUGUGCAUCAUAAAGGUUUUAUCAAAGAAGAUCCGUGGAUUAUUGGAGGUGAUUUCAAUGUCACUCUUGAUCUUAGUGAAAGUUCAGCUGGCUCGUCUAAAUUUUCUAAAGGGAUGGUUGAAUUUCUUGAUUGCAUUAAUACUCUUGAAAUUCAAGAUAUUAAUUGCAAUGGUUUGAAUUUCACUUGGAAUCAAAAACCUCAAGGAGAUAAUGGUAUUAUGAAGAAACUUGAUCGUGUCAUGGGCAAUUGUAGUCUUUUGGAUCUGUUUCCUUCAAUUUGUGCUUCUUUUCUUCCAUAUGGGCUUUCUGAUCACAGUCCGAUUAUUAUAAAAAUUCCUUUAAGAAUCAAUUUUAAGGUUCUUUCCUUUAAAUUUCCAAAUGUUCUUACCCUUUGUCCUGAGUUGAAGCUGUUGGUGGAAAGGCAUUGGAAUGUAGACAUUCAAGGUGUUAAAAUGUUCAUUUUAACACAAAAGCUCAAAAUCCUUAAAAAGCCUAUUCGAAAUCUUUUAAAGAUGCAGGGGCAUUUCUCGGAUAAUGUUGAUCAUUUUCGCAAGGAGUUGGAAGCGGUUCAAGUAGAUUUGGAUUUGGAUCCUUAUAAUUCUCACCUUCGUGAUUUGGAGGCCAUAUUUCUUGGUGAGUUAAAAAAAGCUUAUGAUAAGGAGGAGAGGUUCUUAAAACAGAAAGCUAAAAUCCAAUGGCUAAAGGAGGGUGACAGCAAUUCCAAGUUUUUUCACAGAAUUGUUAAAGGAAAAAUGCAUAAAAACAGAAUUGAGGCGGUUAUGAAUUCUCGAGGAGAGUGGCUGGAAGGUGAUGCUGUUUAUAAAGAAUUCAUUGACUAUUUUCAGGAUUUUCUUGGAAAAGAGGUGCCUUGCGAUGAGAUUUUUCUGCCUGAGUCUCUAUUUAUUAAAAAGCUGGAUCUCAUUGAUGCUGUGGAGAUGGUCAAGAUAGUCUCAAAUGAAGAAAUUAAAGCUGCUCUCUUUGACAUAGAUGAUGAUAAAGCUCCUGGACCGGAUGGGUAUUCGGCUAAAUUCUUUAAAUCUAUGUGGUCUAUUAUUGGAGAGGAUUUCUGCUUGGCUGUUAAGGAUUUUUUUGCUAAUGGAAAAAUUCUCAAAGAAAUAAAUGCUACUGUCAUUGCUUUAGUUCCUAAAGUUAAUUCUCCUGGGAAAGUGAGUGACUUUAGACCUAUUUCUUGUUGUUCUGUCAUUUAUAAGUGCAUAAGCAAGAUCAUUGUUGGAAGACUAAGAAAUCAUUUAGGUUCUAUUGUUGCUGAAAACCAAUCUGCCUUUAUCCCGGGGAGAUCCAUCACAGAUAAUAUUCUUCUUUCCCAAGAACUGGUCAGGGGUUAUCACAGAGACCGAGGAUUUUCUAGAUGUGCUCUUAAGGUGGAUAUCCAGAAAGCGUAUGAUACCGUGAGCUGGUCUUUUCUCCAAAAUAUUCUAUUUCACUUUGGGUUUCAUCCAGCUAUGAUAAAGUGGAUCAUGCAGUGUGUGAGCUCUCCUUCGUAUAUGAUCAGCAUGAAUGGAUCCUUUCAUGGCUAUUUUGAUGGAAAAAGAGGUCUUCGUCAGGGAUGCCCUUUAUCACCAUAUCUCUUUACCUUGGUGAUGGAAAUUUUUAAUUUGAUUUUUCAAAAGAGAAUAAAGAAUGAACCGAUGUUCAAGUAUCAUUGGAGAUGCAAGAAACUCAAACUCACGCACCUAUGUUUUGCGGAUGAUCUAAUGAUUUUCUGUCAUGGAAACAAAGCCUCGGUUAGGGUGAUUAAAGAUAGUCUUGAUGAGUUCGCUAAGGUGGCAGGUCUCCAACCUAAUUUCUCUAAAAGCAAUAUUUUCUUUGGGAAUGUCAAGACCAAUGUGAAAAGGAAAAUUCUUGACACUUUACCUUUUGUUGAAGGCAAGCUUCCAAUGAGGUAUUUGGGUAUUCCCCUAAUUUCUACGAGGUUGUUUAUUCGUGAUUGCAAAAGACUUGUUGAUAAAGUCCGAUGUAGAAUUGGUGAUUGGAGAAACAAAUUUCUUUCUUAUGCGGGAAGGCUUCAGCUAAUUUCUUCGGUUCUUUACUCUCUUCCUGUAUAUUGGGCUUCUUGUCUUCUUAUUCCUGCUUCGAUCACUAAGGAAAUUGAGAAAUUGAUGAAGAAUUUUUUGUGGGACUGUGAUGAAUCCAAGAAGGGAAGGGCAAAAAUAUCCUGGUCUUCUAUUUGUAAACCUGUGGAGUAUGGGGGUUUGGGGCUCAGAAAUCUUAGAGCUUGGAAUAAAGCUAUUUUAUCUAAGAGAAUAUGGAUGAUUAUUUCCAAUCAUGAUUCUUUGUGGGUUAAAUGGAUAAAUAUUCAUGUUCU
RNAcentral lists this long non-coding RNA (10823 nucleotides) under Lactuca sativa (garden lettuce). Its description in RNAcentral is "long non-coding RNA (LSAT_LNC000001)". Lineage: Eukaryota; Viridiplantae; Streptophyta; Magnoliopsida; Asterales; Asteraceae. The record is from RNAcentral.